Molecule: ribosomal RNA, 506 nt
Filed under: uncultured Archaeosporaceae
Lineage: Eukaryota; Fungi; Glomeromycota; Glomeromycetes; Archaeosporales; Archaeosporaceae
Description: SSU rRNA
Rfam family: Eukaryotic small subunit ribosomal RNA
Source: RNAcentral
AGCAGCCGCGGUAAUUCCAGCUCCAAUAGCGUAUAUUAAAGUUGUUGCAGUUAAAAAGCUCGUAGUUGAAUUUUGGAUUCUUCCAAUUGGUCCAUCUUUUAGAUGAGUACUGGUUGUGUGGGGUCUAUCCGCCUGGUGAUACGUAAUGUCCUUUAUUGGAUGUUGCGGGUAGUCAGGACCUUUACCUUGAAAAAUUAGAGUGUUUAAAGCAGGCUUAUGCCGGAAUACAUUAGCAUGGAAUAAUAGAAUAGGACGAAGUUGUUUUAUUUUGUUGGUUUCUAGGACAACCGUAAUGAUUAAUAGGGAUAGUUGGGGGCAUUAGUAUUCAAUUGUCAGAGGUGAAAUUCUUGGAUUUAUUGAAGACUAACUACUGCGAAAGCAUUUGCCAAGGAUGUUUUCAUUAAUCAAGAACGAAAGUUAGGGGAUCGAAGACGAUCAGAUACCGUCGUAGUCUUAACCAUAAACUAUGCCGACUAGGGAUCGGGCGAUGUUGUUUCCAUGACUCG